UACGUAGGGGGCAAGCGUUACUCGGAAUUACUGGGCGUAAAGGGCGAGGAGGCGGCUGAGCAAGUCAAGGAUGAAAGCACGAGGCUCAACUUCGGAAUUGUGCUUGAAACUGCUCAGCUUGAGGGUAGUUGAUGAGAGUGGAAUUCCCGGUGGAGCGGUGAAAUGCGUAGAUAUCGGGAGGAACACCUGAGGCGAAGGCGGCUCUCUAAGCUAUUCCUGACGCUGAAUCACGAAAGCUAGGGGAUCAAACGGG
This 253-nucleotide ribosomal RNA is filed under the name uncultured bacterium. RNAcentral describes it as "partial 16S ribosomal RNA". It matches the Rfam family "Bacterial small subunit ribosomal RNA", at positions 524 to 776 of the family's 1533-position model. The record is from RNAcentral.